Panicum virgatum (switchgrass) is the source of this 570-nucleotide long non-coding RNA. RefSeq lists it as uncharacterized. The record is from RefSeq and is a predicted model, not a curated record. NCBI's taxonomy places the organism in Eukaryota, Viridiplantae, Streptophyta, Magnoliopsida, Poales, Poaceae. The transcript has 2 exons.
CAUAAAUAUAAUUUGUUUCAUUAAGCUUGCAUUGUGCUGCCAGUUAAUUAACCCGUUAUGCCAUCUUCUUUCCGUGUUCCUGUGGUGCUCCUCGGCGAACUCAGCCUCAGGCAUCAGAGAUGAGCUCCUUCCCGAGCUGUGGAGUAUGUGGUUUUCUAUUUUUAUCGAGAGUUUAGACUGCUUGUCCAGGAGAAGUAAUUGUUUCAAUUCAUUUGCAAAACCUGAUGAUUUUUAGGACAGAAACUUGGACCUGGUUUAGUUAUGCCAUCUUGAAUGUGACAGGAGGCUGAGGAACUCGCGGUCAUUGCAUCCAGGUGGAGCAUAGAGUUAGAUAGCUGCCAUCAUGGUAGCAUCUCAGCAGGGCUUCUUCAUUGACAGGAAAUCGUCAUGCAAAUUCUUAUUGUCCAUUCAGUUUUAUGAAACCAAGCCUAAUCUGCUAGUGAUGUUGCCUUUUUUUAACUCUUGUAAUAAUACUGUACAAGUGAUGUACACACGGCACUUGUGCCAUUAUUGGUGACCAAAAUGCUAAUUUGAUGCUUGGUUGCAAGUAAUUUCAUUGUGUCCACACUA